CUCCCUGUAGCUCAGGUGGUAGAGCAGGCGACUUUUAAUCGAAAGGUCGGAGGUUCGAGUCCUCCCAGGGAGACCA
Molecule: transfer RNA, 76 nt
Filed under: Clostridia bacterium
Lineage: Bacteria; Bacillati; Bacillota; Clostridia
Description: tRNA-Lys
Rfam family: tRNA
About the family: Transfer RNA (tRNA) molecules are approximately 80 nucleotides in length.
Source: RNAcentral